RNAcentral lists this ribosomal RNA (492 nucleotides) under uncultured bacterium. Its description in RNAcentral is "partial 16S ribosomal RNA". It matches the Rfam family "Bacterial small subunit ribosomal RNA", at positions 29 to 507 of the family's 1533-position model. The record is from RNAcentral.
AGUGAACGCUGGCGGUAGGCCUAACACAUGCAAGUCGAACGGCAGCACAGUAAGAGCUUGCUCUUACGGGUGGCGAGUGGCGGACGGGUGAGGAAUACAUCGGAAUCUACUUUUUCGUGGGGGAUAACGUAGGGAAACUUACGCUAAUACCGCAUACGACCUACGGGUGAAAGCAGGGAAUCUUCGGACCUUGCGCGAUUGAAUGAGCCGAUGUCGGAUUAGCUAGCUGGCGGGGUAAAGGCCCACCAAGGCGACGAUCCGUAGCUGGUCUGAGAGGAUGAUCAGCCACACUGGAACUGAGACACGGUCCAGACUCCUAAGGGAGGCAGCAGUGGGGAAUAUUGGACAAUGGGCGCAAGCCUGAUCCAGCCAUACCGCGUGGGUGAAGAAGGCCUUCGGGUUGUAAAGCCCUUUUGUUGGGAAAGAAAAGCAGCAGGUUAAUACCCCGCUGUUCUGACGGUACCCAAAGAAUAAGCACCGGCUAACUUCGUG